RNAcentral lists this ribosomal RNA (407 nucleotides) under uncultured bacterium. RNAcentral's name for it is "partial 16S ribosomal RNA". It matches the Rfam family "Bacterial small subunit ribosomal RNA", at positions 30 to 526 of the family's 1533-position model. The record is from RNAcentral.
AUUGAACGCUGGCGGCAGGCCUAACACAUGCAAGCUGAGCGGAGCGUCGGACGGGUGAGUAAUUCCUAGGUAUCUGCCUGGUAGUGGGGGAUAACGUCCGGAAACGGGCGCUAAUUCCGCAUACUAUCAGAUGAGCCUUGGUCGGCUUAGCUAGUUGGUGGGUUAAACGCCUACCAAGCCGACGAUCCGUACCUGGUCUGAGAGGAUGAUCAGUCACACUGGAGCUGGGACACGGUCCGGACUCCUACGGGAGGCAGCAGGGGGGAACAUUGGACAAUGGGCGGAAGCCUGCUCCAGCCAUGCCGCGUGUGUUAAGAAGGUCUUCGGCUUGUAAAGCACUUUAAGUUGGGAGGCGUUACCAGCAGAAUAAGCACCGGCUAACAUCGUGCCAACAGCCGCGGUAAUAC